GCACUGAACCUCAUGUUGGGAGAGCCAUGAGAGCAAUCCUUAGGUUUCUGCAGUAUGUUUCUCCAGGACGUUUGUUCAGUAGCUCCUUGUUUCUUCACAGCUGCUGAGGGUGGACAUCAGCAUCCUCGAUUUGAACAGCACGGCCUUGGACUCGGCGCUGAGGGUCUGCUUUGCUCCGGUGCCUCGGGGCGAGCUCCUGGUGUCCACUUCCUCCAACAAAAUCCUUGUGCUCGAUGCCAAAACGGGACGACUGGUGCGAGAGGUGUCUCCCGUGCACAAGGUGUCCUGCUCUUCCUUGGCGCUGAGCAAGGAUGGCCGGUACCUGCUCACUGCUGGCGACAGAGUUAUCAAAGUGUGGGACUACGGGAUGCGCUUCGAUGUCAACUUCCAGGUGUACAUCGGCCACUCAGAGCCAGUGCACCAGGUGGCCUUCACCCCAGACCAACGGCACGUCAUCAGCGUUGGAGAUGCCAUCUUCCUCUGGGAUUUCCUGGCUCUGCCUGCGGAGAGGUCACCCCAAGGCAGGUAAGUCCACCGUGCUGGGCAGUGCCUUCUCCUGCUUCCCAUCACCUCCCCUGCCCUGUCCCCUCUGGGUGUAAUGCUGGUCCCCUUGCCUCUCCAGGGCUCCUUCCUCCGUGUCCACUCUGCUGCCGGGAGCAGGUGAGUUUGCCUCCUCCCAUGAGUUGUGUUGGCCAGAAGGUUGGCCAUUCUUCAUGGCAGAGGGUAGGGGUUGGGUUUUUGGUCCCUUCCCUCAGAGGGUCAGACAGCAGGGGACUCACCAGCUAA
RNAcentral lists this long non-coding RNA (786 nucleotides) under Calidris pugnax (ruff). RNAcentral describes it as "lncRNA (ENSCPUG00000008095.1)". The record is from RNAcentral. Lineage: Eukaryota; Metazoa; Chordata; Aves; Charadriiformes; Scolopacidae.